RNAcentral lists this ribosomal RNA (465 nucleotides) under Vreelandella stevensii. RNAcentral's name for it is "partial 16S ribosomal RNA". It matches the Rfam family "Bacterial small subunit ribosomal RNA", at positions 338 to 795 of the family's 1533-position model. Lineage: Bacteria; Pseudomonadati; Pseudomonadota; Gammaproteobacteria; Oceanospirillales; Halomonadaceae. The record is from RNAcentral.
CCUACGGGCGGCUGCAGUGGGGAAUAUUGGACAAUGGGGGCAACCCUGAUCCAGCCAUGCCGCGUGUGUGAAGAAGGCCCUCGGGUUGUAAAGCACUUUCAGUGAGGAAGAACGCCUGGUGGUUAAUACCCAUCAGGAAAGACAUCACUCACAGAAGAAGCACCGGCUAACUCCGUGCCAGCAGCCGCGGUAAUACGGAGGGUGCGAGCGUUAAUCGGAAUUACUGGGCGUAAAGCGCGCGUAGGUGGCUUGAUAAGCCGGUUGUGAAAGCCCCGGGCUCAACCUGGGAACGGCAUCCGGAACUGUCAAGCUAGAGUGCAGGAGAGGAAGGUAGAAUUCCCGGUGUAGCGGUGAAAUGCGUAGAGAUCGGGAGGAAUACCAGUGGCGAAGGUGGCCUUCUGGACUGACACUGACACUGAGGUGCGAAAGCGUGGGUAGCAAACAGGAUUAGAUACCCGUGUAGUC